GCCGGAGGGAAACCGAGUCUUAAUUGGGCGUUAAGUUGCAGGGUAUAGACCCGAAACCCGGUGAUCUAGCCAUGGGCAGGUUGAAGGUUGGGUAACACUAACUGGAGGACCGAACCGACUAAUGUUGAAAAAUUAGCGGAUGACCUGUGGCUGGGGGUGAAAGGCCAAUCAAACCGGGAGAUAGCUGGUUCUCCCCGAAAGCUAUUUAGGUAGCGCCUCGUGAAUUCAUCUCCGGGGGUAGAGCACUGUUUCGGCUAGGGGGCCAUCCCGGCUUACCAACCCGAUGCAAACUGCGAAUACCGGAGAAUGUUAUCACGGGAGACACACGGCGGGUGCUAACGUCCGUCGUGAAGAGGGAAACAACCCAGACCGCCAGCUAAGGUCCCAAAGUCAUGGUUAAGUGGGAAACGAUGUGGGAAGGCCCAGACAGCCAGGAUGUUGGCUUAGAAGCAGCCAUCAUUUAAAGAAAGCGUAAUAGCUCACUGGUCGAGUCGGCCUGCGCGGAAGAUGUAACGGGGCUAAACCAU
Molecule: ribosomal RNA, 527 nt
Filed under: Salmonella enterica
Lineage: Bacteria; Pseudomonadati; Pseudomonadota; Gammaproteobacteria; Enterobacterales; Enterobacteriaceae
Also listed under: 4 other names
Description: partial 23S ribosomal RNA
Rfam family: Bacterial large subunit ribosomal RNA
Source: RNAcentral